GAUAACUGGCUUGUGGCAGCCGAGCGUUCCAUGCGACGUUGUUUUUUUUUUUGUUUUUUUUCGAUGUCGGCUCGAUCUUCCUAUCAUUGAGACGCAGAAGCCCCAAAGUUUCCACGUGAGCUGGGUUUAGACCGUCGUGAGACACGUU
This 148-nucleotide non-coding RNA is filed under the name Symbiodinium microadriaticum. Its description in RNAcentral is "Eukaryotic large subunit ribosomal RNA". It matches the Rfam family "Eukaryotic large subunit ribosomal RNA", at positions 2825 to 2984 of the family's 3401-position model. Lineage: Eukaryota; Dinophyceae; Suessiales; Symbiodiniaceae. The record is from Rfam by way of RNAcentral.